UGAAACUGCGAAUGGCUCAUUAAAUCAGUUAUAGUUUAUUUGAUAGUACAAUUACUACUUGGAUAACAGUGGUAAUUCUAGAGCUAAUACAUGCUAAAAGUCUCGACUUCUGGAAGGGACGUAUUUAUUAGAUAAAAACCAAUAA
This 145-nucleotide ribosomal RNA is filed under the name Scutellospora sp. RAv4. Its description in RNAcentral is "partial small subunit ribosomal RNA". It matches the Rfam family "Eukaryotic small subunit ribosomal RNA", at positions 82 to 228 of the family's 1831-position model. The record is from RNAcentral. Lineage: Eukaryota; Fungi; Glomeromycota; Glomeromycetes; Diversisporales; Gigasporaceae.